AAGGCUGAAAUUCGCCUUCAUGAAGCUGGAAUUGCUAGUAAUGGCAGGUCAGCAUACUGCCGUGAAUACGUUCCCGGGCCUUGUACACACCGCCCGUCACACCAUGAGAGUUGGGAAUACCCGAAGCCUGUGAGCUAACUUAUAGAGGCAGCAGUCGAAGGUAGAAUCAAUGAUUGGGGUGAAGUCGUAACAAGGUAAC
RNAcentral lists this ribosomal RNA (199 nucleotides) under uncultured bacterium. RNAcentral describes it as "partial 16S ribosomal RNA". It matches the Rfam family "Bacterial small subunit ribosomal RNA", at positions 1301 to 1500 of the family's 1533-position model. The record is from RNAcentral.